RNAcentral lists this ribosomal RNA (532 nucleotides) under uncultured compost bacterium. Its description in RNAcentral is "bacterial SSU rRNA". It matches the Rfam family "Bacterial small subunit ribosomal RNA", at positions 354 to 890 of the family's 1533-position model. The record is from RNAcentral.
GUAGGGAAUAUUGUCAAUGGCGAGGCCUGAACCAGCCAUGCCGCGUGCAGGAAGACGGCCUUCUGGGUUGUAAACUGCUUUUAUACGGGAAGAAAACGCCCAUGCGUGGGCAAUUGACGGUACCGUAGGAAUAAGCACCGGCUAACUCCGUGCCAGCAGCCGCGGUAAUACGGAGGGUGCGAGCGUUGUCCGGAUUUAUUGGGUUUAAAGGGUGCGUAGGCGGGCGCUUAAGUCAGCGGUGAAAGCCCACGGCUCAACCGUGGAACCGCCAUUGAUACUGGGCGCCUUGAGUACCGUUGGGGUAGGCGGAAUUUAUGGUGUAGCGGUGAAAUGCAUAGAUACCAUAAGGAACCCCGAUAGCGUAGGCGGCUUACUAAACGGUAACUGACGCUGAGGCACGAAAGCAUGGGUAGCGAACAGGAUUAGAUACCCUGGUAGUCCAUGCCGUAAACGAUGAUCACUCGAUGUGCGCGAUACACUGUGCGCGUCCAAGCGAAAGCGUUAAGUGAUCCACCUGGGGAGUACGCCCGCA